RNAcentral lists this ribosomal RNA (1362 nucleotides) under Triticum aestivum (bread wheat). RNAcentral describes it as "partial small subunit ribosomal RNA". The record is from RNAcentral. Lineage: Eukaryota; Viridiplantae; Streptophyta; Magnoliopsida; Poales; Poaceae.
AUGGCGGACCUCCGCCCAACCGUGACCCGGAUGGAACACCGGGUCGAGCCCUGGAAGGGACGGUGGCUCUCGAAGGCGGCGAGGUCCAGGUUUUUUUGGGCUGAUGAGCGGGACGAGCAGAAGUACCAUAUGGUGAGCUGGCUUGACAUUUGCAAACCUAAGGACCAAGGAGGUCUGGGGAUCCUGUCUACUCGGCGCAUGAACAUUGCUCUCCUGGCCCAUUGGCUCCGGCGUAUCGCCAAUGGGGAGGGCAGCCUCUGGCUCAUCAUCAUCCAAAAUAAGUACCUUCGGGGCCAACCUUUAGCUUUCUGCCAACGCUCGGGUGGAUCCCAGUUCUGGCAGGUGGUGGUCCAGCUUCUACUCGUGCUCCGUAUUGGCACGUCUCUCUCUGUGGGCUCCGGGUCCUCGACCCUGUUUUGGUUCGACCGCUGGCUAGGAGACUCCCCCCUAGCCGUCCGCUUCCCGGGCUUAUUUGCCAUUGCGGCUGACCCCCGAAUCUCCAUCGAGACGGCCCUUAUUGACUUAGGGAGUCUCGCCUUCCGGCGCCCCUUUGGCCCCCUUGAGGGCGCCCCUGACUCCAUCUCUUGGCGUCUGGAGCCCUCCGACCGCUUCUCCACGAAAUCUCUUUACGCGGCCACUGCCCCUUCGUUGGCCCUUGAGCCCUAUAGCUUGAUCUGGGACAUUCACCUUCCCCUCAAGAUCAGGAUUUUCUUGUGGCAGUGGAUCCGGGGACGCCUCCCCUCUGGGGUUGAAGUCCGCAAGCGCAAUGGCCCAGGCGACAGGAUGUGUCCCUUGUGCGCCACGGUGGAGGACUCGAACCACAUAUUAUUUUCCUGCUCCACAGCCCAGUUCCUGUGGUCCCGCUUUCGUGAUACGGUCGGCGGACAAUGGUGCAACACCAACUUCCCCGACCUCCUAGCUGAGAUCCACGCCUCACCCCUCGUUGCCGCCAUAUUAGAUGGUUGUGCAUUGGGGUCCUCGCCUGGACGCUUUGAAAGAUUCGCAACAAACUUGUUAUUCAGAAAGUGCCUCUUCGAUGGGCGACUGACGCGAUCUUCAAAAUGUGUGGCUAUUUGCAGCUAUGGCGGCCGCUUAGCCGCCCUCAGGACCGGGACGUCAUCAACACCCUCCUUGCCGACCUUCGAUCGAUGGCCUUCCGCGUGGCACCUCCGCUUCCGCCUCCUCCGCCGGAGCCUGAUCAGGCUUACUGCUCGUGUUGCGGUGUCUGUUUUGAUUUGUGGCCGCCGCUUCUCACCCCCGGCCGGCCGCUUUUGCCCUUUUGAGCAAAUCAGACGAGGACGAGGCUGGGAUUCGGAGAGGACAAGACGCGGGCAAGAUUUGACUUGGGAGCGCCUAAAGUAG